This 465-nucleotide ribosomal RNA is filed under the name Vreelandella stevensii. RNAcentral describes it as "partial 16S ribosomal RNA". It matches the Rfam family "Bacterial small subunit ribosomal RNA", at positions 338 to 795 of the family's 1533-position model. The record is from RNAcentral. Lineage: Bacteria; Pseudomonadati; Pseudomonadota; Gammaproteobacteria; Oceanospirillales; Halomonadaceae.
CCUACGGGCGGCAGCAGUGGGGAAUAUUGGACAAUGGGGGGAACCCUGAUCCAGCCAUGCCGCGUGUGUGAAGAAGGCCCUCGGGUUGUAAAGCACUUUCAGUGAGGAAGAACGCCUGGUGGUUAAUACCCAUCAGGAAAGACAUCACUCACAGAAGAAGCACCGGCUAACUCCGUGCCAGCAGCCGCGGUAAUACGGAGGGGGCGAGCGUUAAUCGGAAUUACUGGGCGUAAAGCGCGCGUAGGUGGCUUGAUAAGCCGGUUGUGAAAGCCCCGGGCUCAACCUGGGAACGGCAUCCGGAACUGUCAAGCUAGAGUGCAGGAGAGGAAGGUAGAAUUCCCGGUGUAGCGGUGAAAUGCGUAGAGAUCGGGAGGAAUACCAGUGGCGAAGGCGGCCUUCUGGACUGACACUGACACUGAGGUGCGAAAGCGUGGGUAGCAAACAGGAUUAGAUACCCUGGUAGUC